GCGGACCUGGGCGCGCACUCUGCAGGGCACCGCGCCGCCCGCGCGCCCCUCGCCCGCCCCUCCGCCCUCGGAACUCGCCGAGCUUCGGAACCUGCGGUCUGAAAACCGUCCGUCCUGUGCUUGGGAAGUAAACUCUUAACCGGCCGUGUCAGGACACCUGAGACUGAAGGGGUGAACAGUGAGGUGCAUCCGUGAGGAGUGAGCCUGAAGAAGGUGAGUAACUUACUGAUGAUACAGGGAAAAGAAAGUGUUCAUGCGAUCGUCGGACUGAAGAGGUCUGCCCAGCAUUCCUGGCACAGGGGAGACCAGUGCGGGUCAUCGCCUUCAGGGGCUCUUGGCCUCACCCGAAGCCCUGAGCAGUCAGCGCCGAGUGCAGACGCCCGUUCAUCUGAUAAGUAGUGACCUUCCACCCAGGUGUUCGGAAUAAGCUCAUCUCUGUAGACUUCCUGCAGGAGGGAAUCGAGCAAAGAGAUUAGCACACUCAUAACAAGGAAGAAGUGCCCAGACAAGAGAUUUUUGUUAUAUGACUUCAUGAAAAAUAGUGAAAUGUCAGGUUCUUCACCAUUUAAGAUGCGAUUAGUUCAUUUGGACCUUAAAGGAGCUCCACCAAAGGUUUCCUACCUCUCUGAGGUCUUUCCUCUGUUCCAUGCCUUGGGCGCCAAUGGGCUCCUCCUCGAGUAUGAAGACAUGUUUCCCUACGAGGGCCGCCUCAGGCUGCUGAGAGCCAAGCACGCAUACAGGU
Molecule: non-coding RNA, 742 nt
Organism: Leptonychotes weddellii (Weddell seal)
Lineage: Eukaryota; Metazoa; Chordata; Mammalia; Carnivora; Phocidae
Source: RefSeq, a predicted model, not a curated record